GGAAAAGUAUUAAUUGAGAAAAUUAUCUUAUUUGAGGGGUUAAUUAAGCAAGGACUAAAUUGUAUGAAUUGUGAAAUUUGGGGCAAAAUGGAAAUCAACAUUUUUGCACUAAAACUGUUUUGGACAGCAGCAGUAGUCUAAGUUUGAAAAAUCACCAAAAAUUGUAGAAAUGGAAUUAGAGGAUGAAUAAAAUAUGAAAUUAAAUCUUAUUGAGUCUAGUUUCUUA
This 226-nucleotide long non-coding RNA is filed under the name Gossypium barbadense (sea-island cotton). RNAcentral describes it as "long non-coding RNA (GBAR_LNC005999)". Lineage: Eukaryota; Viridiplantae; Streptophyta; Magnoliopsida; Malvales; Malvaceae. The record is from RNAcentral.